RNAcentral lists this ribosomal RNA (2902 nucleotides) under Escherichia coli. RNAcentral's name for it is "23S ribosomal RNA". It matches the Rfam family "Bacterial large subunit ribosomal RNA". Lineage: Bacteria; Pseudomonadati; Pseudomonadota; Gammaproteobacteria; Enterobacterales; Enterobacteriaceae. The record is from RNAcentral.
GGUUAAGCGACUAAGCGUACACGGUGGAUGCCCUGGCAGUCAGAGGCGAUGAAGGACGUGCUAAUCUGCGAUAAGCGUCGGUAAGGUGAUAUGAACCGUUAUAACCGGCGAUUUCCGAAUGGGGAAACCCAGUGUGAUUCGUCACACUAUCAUUAACUGAAUCCAUAGGUUAAUGAGGCGAACCGGGGAACUGAAACAUCUAAGUACCCCGAGGAAAAGAAAUCAACCGAGAUUCCCCCAGUAGCGGCGAGCGAACGGGGAGGAGCCCAGAGCCUGAAUCAGUGUGUGUGUUAGUGGAAGCGUCUGGAAAGGCGCGCGAUACAGGGUGACAGCCCCGUACACAAAAAUGCACAUGCUGUGAGCUCGAUGAGUAGGGCGGGACACGUGGUAUCCUGUCUGAAUAUGGGGGACCAUCCUCCAAGGCUAAAUACUCCUGACUGACCGAUAGUGAACCAGUACCGUGAGGGAAAGGCGAAAAGAACCCCGGCGAGGGGAGUGAAAAAGAACCUGAAACCGUGUACGUACAAGCAGUGGGAGCCUCUUUAUGGGGUGACUGCGUACCUUUUGUAUAAUGGGUCAGCGACUUAUAUUCUGUAGCAAGGUUAACCGAAUAGGGGAGCCGAAGGGAAACCGAGUCUUAACUGGGCGUUAAGUUGCAGGGUAUAGACCCGAAACCCGGUGAUCUAGCCAUGGGCAGGUUGAAGGUUGGGUAACACUAACUGGAGGACCGAACCGACUAAUGUUGAAAAAUUAGCGGAUGACUUGUGGCUGGGGGUGAAAGGCCAAUCAAACCGGGAGAUAGCUGGUUCUCCCCGAAAGCUAUUUAGGUAGCGCCUCGUGAAUUCAUCUCCGGGGGUAGAGCACUGUUUCGGCAAGGGGGUCAUCCCGACUUACCAACCCGAUGCAAACUGCGAAUACCGGAGAAUGUUAUCACGGGAGACACACGGCGGGUGCUAACGUCCGUCGUGAAGAGGGAAACAACCCAGACCGCCAGCUAAGGUCCCAAAGUCAUGGUUAAGUGGGAAACGAUGUGGGAAGGCCCAGACAGCCAGGAUGUUGGCUUAGAAGCAGCCAUCAUUUAAAGAAAGCGUAAUAGCUCACUGGUCGAGUCGGCCUGCGCGGAAGAUGUAACGGGGCUAAACCAUGCACCGAAGCUGCGGCAGCGACACUAUGUGUUGUUGGGUAGGGGAGCGUUCUGUAAGCCUGCGAAGGUGUACUGUGAGGUAUGCUGGAGGUAUCAGAAGUGCGAAUGCUGACAUAAGUAACGAUAAAGCGGGUGAAAAGCCCGCUCGCCGGAAGACCAAGGGUUCCUGUCCAACGUUAAUCGGGGCAGGGUGAGUCGACCCCUAAGGCGAGGCCGAAAGGCGUAGUCGAUGGGAAACAGGUUAAUAUUCCUGUACUUGGUGUUACUGCGAAGGGGGACGGAGAAGGCUAUGUUGGUAGGGCGACGGUUGUCCCGGUUUAAGCGUGUAGGCUGGUUUUCCAGGCAAAUCCGGAAAAUCAAGGCUGAGGCGUGAUGACGAGGCACUACGGUGCUGAAGCAACAAAUGCCCUGCUUCCAGGAAAAGCCUCUAAGCAUCAGGUAACAUCAAAUCGUACCCCAAACCGACACAGGUGGUCAGGUAGAGAAUACCAAGGCGCUUGAGAGAACUCGGGUGAAGGAACUAGGCAAAAUGGUGCUGUAACUUCGGGAGAAGGCACGCUGAUAUGUAGGUGAAGUCCCUCGCGGAUGGAGCUGAAAUCAGUCGAAGAUACCAGCUGGCUGCAACUGUUUAUUAAAAACACAGCACUGUGCAAACACGAAAGUGGACGUAUACGGUGUGACGCCUGCCCGGUGUCGGAAGGUUAAUUGAUGGGGUUAGCGGUAACGCGAAGCUCUUGAUCGAAGCCCCGGUAAACGGCGGUACGUAACUAUAACGGUCCUAAGGUAGCGAAAUUCCUUGUCGGGUAAGUUCCGACCUGCACGAAUGGCGUAAUGAUGGUCAGGCUGUCUCCACCCGAGACUCAGUGAAAUUGAACUCGCUGUGAAGAUGCAGUGUACCCGCGGCAAGACGGAAAGACCCCGUGAACCUUUACUAUAGCUUGACACUGAACAUUGAGCCUUGAUGUGUAGGAUAGGUGGGAGGCUUUGAAGUGUGGACGCCAGUCUGCAUGGAGCCGACCUUGAAAUACCACCCUUUAAUGUUUGAUGUUCUAACGUUGGCCCCUGAUCGGGGUUGCGGACAGUGUCUGGUGGGUAGUUUGACUGGGGCGGUCUCCUCCUAAAGAGUAACGGAGGAGCACGAAGGUUGGCUAAUCCUGGUCGGACAUCAGGAGGUUAGUGCAAUGGCAUAAGCCAGCUUGACUGCGAGCGUGACGGCGCGAGCAGGUGCGAAAGCAGGUCAUAGUGAUCCGGUGGUUCUGAAUGGAAGGGCCAUCGCUCAACGGAUAAAAGGUACUCCGGGGAUAACAGGCUGAUACCGCCCAAGAGUUCAUAUCGACGGCGGUGUUUGGCACCUCGAUGUCGGCUCAUCACAUCCUGGGGCUGAAGUAGGUCCCAAGGGUAUGGCUGUUCGCCAUUUAAAGUGGUACGCGAGCUGGGUUUAGAACGUCGUGAGACAGUUCGGUCCCUAUUCUGCCGUGGGCGCUGGAGAACUGAGGGGGCUGCUCCUAGUACGAGAGGACCGGAGUGGACGCAUCACUGGUGUUCGGGUUGUCAUGCCAAUGGCACUGCCCGGUAGCUAAAUGCGGAAGAGAUAAGUGCUGAAAGCAUCUAAGCACGAAACUUGCCCCGAGAUGAGUUCUCCCUGACUCCUUGAGAGUCCUGAAGGAACGUUGAAGACGACGACGUUGAUAGGCCGGGUGUGUAAGCGCAGCGAUGCGUUGAGCUAACCGGUACUAAUGAACCGUGAGGCUUAACCUU